GCCUUAAUUGAAGCCCACAUGUGAAUCACAUCUUCUGCUGCAUGCUGGCUCCUUCUGCCUGAAUACACAGAAAUCAUCAUAAAUCCUAAGUUGCCCUCUGUCCAUCAGGACUUGAAACCAUUGAGUUGUAAAGUUGAGCCUUCAAAAUCAUCCAGUCCAGAGAUUUUCAAGUUUGACUAUGCAUUAUAACAAGCUUUGGAUUUAAAACACAUAAACCUGAGUCGCAGUCCCAGGCUGCAUACAUCAUCAGAGGAGAAUUUGGAUCACCUGUUUCCAGGCCUUGGUAAAGCAAUUCAGGAUAAAUGUUCCAUAAGCUCACUGUGCCUCCCAAAUAGUUUUAGAAAAUCACAAGAAGGCUAAAGAAGAAUAAGCACCAAAGAAAAGUGAGAUGGUCUGCAAACUAUUUUCAGAAUACCAGGUCUGAUUCAGACAAUGAAAAUGAAAUAAUUUCUGUUUCCAAAGGAAGCAUCAUAGCAGGGCCCCGCCUGAUGUCACUUCAACUCCGAGUGCCAACAUGAAAACACGCAAAAGCCUGUUUUCCAACUUGUAGAUCAGAAAACAGGCCUGAUACUGGGAGACAUGUUUUCAUAUCAAGUACGCAGCAUUCUGACAAAGCUCCUCCGUCCCCACCUUUCUCAGUUGUAAGAAAACCCAAGAUGUGUUGAGCUCGCUAGAAUCAAAGUUGACUUUGGCAAUAGUACUCCUUCAUUUGAUCCAAAUUUACAAGUGGAGAAGUUACAGCACUCCAUUUUUGUUCACGUAUCUACUUCUCUACCAUGUGACUGAGAGAAAGCUGAUCUGGACACUGGAACCUGCUUCAUCUGAGCCAGUAAAUGUGCAACAUUGUCCGGGUGACAUUAUGCAUUCAGAGCUGUACAUGAGGAACUAAGUCUGCCCAAUUAUAGUCCAUGAUUGAAGGAGAGGUUUCUUUAGCUCUUCCACAAGAUCUAACAAAAGACAAUGAUUCACUUGAUAUGUCAACAAACUGGGGGCAUUGAGGACCCAAAUCAAGGAGAAGCUGACAGAUCAAAGGAUAACAGAUUUUAAAAACUUGAAUUCUUGAUGACAGUACUGAGCUACUGAAAAAAAAAAAAUCAGCCUGGGAACCUUACUGACUUCUAAAUUGCUUCUUAUGUGGGAUGAAAAAUAUCUGAAGAUCCACUGUUGAUGUGAAUGAUUUUUAUAUGAUUACUCUUCAAAAUGUGAUUAUUAUUUGUAUAUUUGCACUGUAAGAAUAUAUCUUAAAUUUUUACUUUAUUUAGCCACGGUCACUAUAUCUUUGAGCAUUGAACAUAUUUAAGCAACAAUAUUUCAACACUUCUUUCAAGUGGAUUUUUGAAGUUACUGGGUCCAGAGGAGUUUUACGUGUCCCGAAUAAAAUGCUAAUUUGUAUAUCUAUAAGUAUGUAUUUUUAUAUUUUUCCUUUUCAAAAUUA
Canis lupus familiaris (dog) is the source of this 1435-nucleotide long non-coding RNA. RefSeq lists it as uncharacterized. The record is from RefSeq and is a predicted model, not a curated record. NCBI's taxonomy places the organism in Eukaryota, Metazoa, Chordata, Mammalia, Carnivora, Canidae. The transcript has 7 exons.